RNAcentral lists this ribosomal RNA (497 nucleotides) under uncultured bacterium. RNAcentral's name for it is "partial 16S ribosomal RNA". It matches the Rfam family "Bacterial small subunit ribosomal RNA", at positions 28 to 507 of the family's 1533-position model. The record is from RNAcentral.
GAUGAACGCUGGCGGCGUGCCUAAUACAUGCAAGUCGAGCGAACAGACGAGGAGCUUGCUCCUCUGACGUUAGCGGCGGACGGGUGAGUAACACGUGGAUAACCUACCUAUAAGACUGGGAUAACUUCGGGAAACCGGAGCUAAUACCGGAUAAUAUAUUGAACCGCAUGGUUCAAUAGUGAAAGACGGUUUUGCUGUCACUUAUAGAUGGAUCCGCGCCGCAUUAGCUAGUUGGUAAGGUAACGGCUUACCAAGGCAACGAUGCGUAGCCGACCUGAGAGGGUGAUCGGCCACACUGGAACUGAGACACGGUCCAGGCUCCUACGGGAGGCAGCAGUAGGGAAUCUUCCGCAAUGGGCGAAAGCCUGACGGAGCAACGCCGCGUGAGUUAUGAAGGUCUUCGGAUCGUAAAACUCUGUUAUUAGGGAAGAACAAAUGUGUAAGUAACUAUGCACGUCUUGACGGUACCUAAUCAGAAAGCCACGGCUAACUACGUG